AUCAUUUGCUUUUUGUGCGCUUGUUUCUGUAUGGAGGACAUCGCUGAAGCGGCAAAUUUGAAGAUGGAGAAAUGCGCUUUCCAACGAGACCAAGAUGGCGGCGCUCGUUCGCGCCGUUCCGGAGCAACCACCAAUUACACAUAGACUAAAUGUUGCCAAAAAGUGCAAGGGGUGUAGCCGUUGCCCACGCACACAUGCACAGAGGAGGACGCCAUUUUUAAAUUGCAGUUGCCAGCAUCAAAACGCUUCUUCACCAAAAUGAAAGUGGGUCGGGAACAUGUUGGGUGGUCGACUUCGCAGUUCACACAGUGGGAUGUGCCAGUGUUAUUGGAGGGGUGACCUUUAUCACCACAUUUUGUGCAGCAUGGCCAGAAACUGAGUGAAGACACAGCCGACAGCAUCGAAAUUGGAUGCGAAACUUUCUGCUGCUGGUGGACAUUUUGCUUGUCGCCCAGAAAUCUGUGCUGCGGCCUGCCAUUAAUGCGUAACUGCAUAAAACGGCAACUAGUAUGCCUGCCUCAAUCUGAAUUUGCUCUUGCUACUUGCUCUCCUUUGUGACAGCAAAAAAUAAAUGCUAAAAUCAGUCUUUGAUUUGUCUCAUAUCAUACCGAGUAUCCACACUCGCACUACGCAUCCCAGAUGGCACACGUGCGGCAGUUUCAGAGGUUGUGUACUC
Long non-coding RNA from Dermacentor albipictus, 676 nucleotides. RefSeq lists it as uncharacterized. The record is from RefSeq and is a predicted model, not a curated record. NCBI's taxonomy places the organism in Eukaryota, Metazoa, Arthropoda, Arachnida, Ixodida, Ixodidae.